RNAcentral lists this long non-coding RNA (268 nucleotides) under Mytilus galloprovincialis (Mediterranean mussel). Lineage: Eukaryota; Metazoa; Mollusca; Bivalvia; Mytilida; Mytilidae. The record is from RNAcentral.
UUUCUAACAUUUUUAUUUUGUUUUGCGGAUGAAAUUUCGAAGAUUCUGUUUUAAAUCCUAGGGGUUGUAGGAAUAUCGUGCCCAACGUUUGAAAGUAGAAAUAGAGCAAUCAGUAUUCGCCCUUAUUACAAGAAGGCAUGUAGUUUGCGCUUAUAUAUAGGGAUGUGGAAAGCUUUGCUUGCCUUGGUAGGACUGAAUGUCAGUCCUUAUUAAAUUCACUUAUAAAUUUUCCAACAAAAAGGAGUUUAAAUUAACCUUAUCUGGCUAA